RNAcentral lists this ribosomal RNA (622 nucleotides) under uncultured Bacillota bacterium. RNAcentral's name for it is "bacterial SSU rRNA". It matches the Rfam family "Bacterial small subunit ribosomal RNA", at positions 8 to 661 of the family's 1533-position model. The record is from RNAcentral. Lineage: Bacteria; Bacillati; Bacillota.
AUAGUUUGAUCCUGGCUCAGGACGAACGCUGGCGGCGUGCUUAAUACAUGCAAGUCGAACGGAUGUAGCAUACAUCAGUGGCGGACGGGUGAGUAACGCGUGGGCAAUCUGCCCUCUAGCCUGGGAUUACAUUUCGAAAGGACUGCUAACACCGGAUAUGGUGGCAUCGAGGCAUCUCGAAGCCAUGAAAGUUUACACUAGAGGAUGAGCCCGCGUCCCAUUAGCUAGUUGGUGAGUAACGGCCCACCAAGGCGACAUGGGUAGCCGACCUGAGAGGGUGAACGGCCACACUGGGACUGAGACACGGCCCAGACUCCUACGGGAGGCAGCAGUAGGGAAUUUUCCGCAAUGGGCGAAAGCCUGACGGAGCAUCGCCGCGUGAGGGAUGAAGGUCUUCGGAUCGUAAACCUUUGUCUAGAGGGACGAUAAUGACGGUACCUCUGGAGGAAGCCACGGCUAACUACGUGCCAGCAGCCGCGGUAAUACGUAGGUGGCAAGCGUUGUCCGGAAUUACUGGGCGUAAAAGGGCGUGUAGGCGGCCUUUUAAGUCAUACAUUAAAACCCUGGGCUUAACCCAGGACCUGCGUUUGAUACUGAAGGGCUUGAGGACCGAUAAGGCAGU